GCCUGGCUAGCUCAAUCGGUAGAGCGUGAGACUCUUACCAUUCCUUCGAUAGAAGACAAUGAUCUAAGGCAUCUCAAGGCUGCGGGUUCGACCCCCGCGUUGGGCU
Molecule: non-coding RNA, 106 nt
Organism: Aplosporella prunicola CBS 121167
Lineage: Eukaryota; Fungi; Ascomycota; Dothideomycetes; Botryosphaeriales; Aplosporellaceae
Source: the annotation of a RefSeq genome assembly